Molecule: long non-coding RNA, 2533 nt
Filed under: Salvia miltiorrhiza (redroot sage)
Lineage: Eukaryota; Viridiplantae; Streptophyta; Magnoliopsida; Lamiales; Lamiaceae
Description: long non-coding RNA (SMIL_LNC006318)
Source: RNAcentral
GCAUGCACAUUAUUAAUAUUGCAAUUAAAUGUACAACCAUUAAUUAAAUACUUAAAGAAGUAAAUUACAAUUUCUUAACCACUAUAAAUGAUGGCCCUCGAAACAAGUGUGACAAUCCAAAUAUUGAUCUGUAAAAUAAAAUCAGAAAAAUGAAGUGCAAAGGGCUUGGACCUGUGGUUGCAAUUAUGGUGAUAGCCUUCCUAAUUAGUGCAGUUGCAAAUGCAGAUCAAUGUGAAGAUUGUCUUAAAGGCUGCAUCGACAAACUCAUCAUGUCUCUCUGCAAGUUAAAAUGCAGAAAAGUUUGUUCAUGAAGUCGCGGCCGCCGUCGCAGCAGCUGCUCCGCCGCCGGGGGUUUAUUGAUCUAUAUUCUGUAACUACGUAAUUUUAUUUAAUAUUUGAGGGAAUAUUCCCUUGAUUUGGAGUUGCAUUGCAUGAGAAGUGACUUUUAUGAAUUAUGAAUUUGUUGCUUCAUCUCUAAGUUAAUUAUGUCAUUGUGAUCAAAAAGAUUAGUUGACAUAGUCCAAACAGAUUUCUUAUUAUCACACAAAAUAUUUAUUUUCAAUAAUUAAUUAACACUAAAAGAGAAGUACCAACUGUUCUUUUCAGGAAAGAAAUGAAUAAAUGAAGACCGGCCCCAAUUGUUAGCGAGGCAGAGAAUUUUCUAAUCCUUUCUAAAUUAUCACAUCCAGUUUUAAGAUCUCACAAGAUCCACUAGUGAUAUGAUUAGACAAAAAUCUUGUUUCUACCCCAGGCCACCCCCCCGAUAAUAAUAAUAAUAAUAAUAAAUAAAUGGUUGUGUAUGACAAGUGGACGCCCGAUAUUCUUAAUUAAUGAUAUUUUGAGGUUAAUUAGGAUUUAAAUUAAAAUUUUAUAUUUUAUAUAUAAUUAGAAUUUAAUGAUUGGAGUUUAUUGAUUUAUGAAUUUGAAAGUGUGAAAAUACAGUUUCGCCACAAUGAUAAAAUUGGAACUUCAAGGGAAGAAAAUACUUCAUCGGUCCAUGAAAAAUGAGACACGUAUAACUUAUUAUUUUUGGCGUCCAUAAAAAGUGGGAUAAAAAAAAAUACAUGAGCCCAUAUCUUUUCUCUUAUUUACAAAAAAAAAAAAAAUUAAUUCAAUUUCAACCACUUAUUUCAUAUAAUGGUGUGAUUCUCUUCUAACUAUUUUUUUUAUUAAAAUUUAUGCCCAAAAAAUAUGUCCCAUUUUUUUGGACGAGAGAAUAAAUUUUUUGUUUUCUUCACUCCAGCUCUAGUCUCUCCAACCUUAUUUCUCCCUCUAUCCGUUUUUGUAGUGAAGAAAAAGGAAAGUCGAGAAAGAGUUUAAAGGCUUAUUAGAUUAACGUUUCCUUAAAUUUAAGGGGGUAUGACAUAUAAAAUAUUAGUACUAUCAUUUUCUCCGUCACUUAAAAAUAUAUUAUCUUUUGUCAUUUCAGAUCAUCUCACAAAAUAUGUACUUUUAUUUUGAACGCUACCCCACCAUAAUAUCUUGAUUUUCUAUCCAUUCUUUUCAUACUUAUUUACAAAAAAAUUGUCAUGACCGAUCACAAUACACUCUCAUCUAACAUAACACUUUUAUAAAAUGAAACCUUAUUUUUCAACUACAAAAUACAUUCUCAUCUAACAUUUUUAAAAACUUAUGCCACCCACUCUUUCACAUAUAUUUUUAAAAAGGAAAGCAGUAUUAUAUUUUUGGAAGGAGUCUUGUGAAGAGCAAAGAAAAAGACUAUACACUCGAUCACGACUUCCUUUUUAUUUCUAAUGUUCCUUUUCUUUCUAAGACUAUACACUCAAUCACUCAUUCAUAUUAACCCCCUUUCAGGUGAUUUGAAUAAUUAAUUUAUGGUUAGGAGGAAGGCGUCUUGGCAUCUAAAAUACGCUUCAUCAUCAUUUAUUAAAAUAUUAUAAAUUAUUAAUAAUUACAUUGAAUAAAAUUCUNUAUUUGUAAUUUAAAAUCUAACGAACUCUUUUACAAGAGAUUAUAAAAGAUAAUUAGAAAACACUCGAAACUAGAUUACCACAUUAAUAAAUCACAAACAAAAUGCAGCCCCAGAUCUCAUGUAUCCACAUCGAAAUUACAAAAAGCACUACAGACUGCAUGCACAUUAUUAAUAUUGCAAUUAAAUGUACAACCAUUAAUUAAAUACUUAAAGAAGUAAAUUACAAUUUCUUAACCACUAUAAAUGAUGGCCCUCGAAACAAGUGUGACAAUCCAAAUACUGAUCUGUAAAAUAAAAUCAGAAAAAUGAAGUGCAAAGGGCUUGGACCUGUGGUUGCAAUUAUGGUGAUAGCCUUCCUAAUUAGUGCAGUUGCAAAUGCAGAUCAAUGUGAAGAUUGUCUUAAAGGCUGCAUCGACAAACUCAUCAUGUCUCUCUGCAAGUUAAAAUGCAGAAAAGUUUGUUCAUGAAGUCGCGGCCGCCGUCGCAGCAGCUGCUCCGCCACCGGGGGGCUAUUCAUCUAUAUUCUGUAACUACGUAAUUUUUAUUUUAAUAUUUGAGGGAAUAUUCCCUUGAUUUGGAGUGCAUUGCAUGAGAAGUGAC